Molecule: long non-coding RNA, 730 nt
Filed under: Suricata suricatta (meerkat)
Lineage: Eukaryota; Metazoa; Chordata; Mammalia; Carnivora; Herpestidae
Description: lncRNA (ENSSSUG00005012705.1)
Source: RNAcentral
AAGGUCAACAGUGAAAAUGCAUCAUUUUUCUGUUUUUGCAUUUUAGAGUUCCAGACAUUGCUGGAAGCAGAGAUGGAGAAGGUGUUACCCACACUGGUUCUGGUACCUGGGACCCAUUUACCCUGAGGAGAAAUUAUCCAGGUAGCAUGCUGGCUUAGCGCCGAGACCACCAAGCAAAGAUUCUACCACUCGGCUUGAGGAGUGAGCUCUUACACUAACUGUCCUCCGCACCAUACUGAUGAGAUGGGGCACAUCCAGCUGUUGAGAAUGUUUUGCCUGAGUGCCACCAAGAUGAUGAGAUCAUCCUCCACUGAAGACAAGCAGAACUGCAGACUCCAUCUCAUUCUCCUUGUCUGCAAAUCCCUCCAUAACUCACUACCAUGUGCAGAGACUGACAGCAGGGCAGGACAAAGCAGAUGUCCUGGGACUCCAGGAGGAAAGGAGCCCAGCGCACAACCCCCUCAGGUUGCUCAAGAAGACCAGGAAGUCCAAUGCCCCAGGGGACUGAAGAGAUGACAAAAAGAGGCCGAGAAAAUCCAGUAAGUAAAAUGCCAAACUCAGUUCCACUCAGAUUGUCUCACUCAUUUGACAGGAAAAAAGCAUAGAGCCCUGACCCUAAAAUAGAGCAAAUCUUCAUUUCAUCUUCUUCAAAAUGAAAUAGGAUACAGAUGGGAGACGCUGCCUCUCCUGUCUGCUCACCCACCACUGCCCCAUAUUGCAUUCGUCGUUA